GUAGAAGGUAUGCUUGGUGAAAGAUACUGUUCUCAGGACUGCAGCACUGAACUGCUGGCCCAAGAAAGGAAGAAAUGGCCAAAGAAAAGGAGAAUUAAGAUCACUUUAAGUCAUUCUGAUUCAACUGUGGAUUGAAAAUUGAUUCAGUGCAAGAAACAAGACAUCCCUAUUAUUUGCUAUUGAUGAAACUGUGUUUUGAAAAGACCUUGAAGAGCUAUGAUUAGCUUCAGAGAGGUUUCCCAGCACUGAGUUAAGAAGCAGAGCCUACCUUCAGAUCAAGGGUUUUUGAUGUUGGUCAUAACACCAAAGAAGGCUGAAUUUACUCCAGACUUUAAAAAUGGAAAUGUGUGAGUAAUAAAACAUUUUCAUUUUAUAAACCCAUCUAAACCUAGUCCCAGAUGAAACUGGGAAUAUUCUUCAUACAAGAGUAACCAAAUAAAUCAGAAUCCAAAAGUUUUCAUGAAACCCU
Dromaius novaehollandiae (emu) is the source of this 469-nucleotide long non-coding RNA. RefSeq lists it as uncharacterized. The transcript is spliced from 3 exons. The record is from RefSeq and is a predicted model, not a curated record. NCBI's taxonomy places the organism in Eukaryota, Metazoa, Chordata, Aves, Casuariiformes, Dromaiidae.